GACGGGGGAUGCAAGUGUUAUCCGGAAUUAUUGGGCGUAAAGCGUCUGUAGGUGGUUUAAUCAGUCUAUUGUUAAAGCUUGAAACUUAACUUCAGAGAUGCAGUAGAAACUAUUAAACUGGAGUAUAGUUGAGGUAGAAGGAAUUUCCAGUGGAGUGGUGAAAUGCGUAGAUAUUGGAAAGAACACCAAUUGCGAAGGCAUUCUAUUAAACUAUUCUGACACUCAGAGACGAAAGCUAGGGUAGCAAAUGGGAUUAGAUACCCCAGUAGUCCUAGCCGUAAACGAUGGAUACUAUAUAUUAGACGUUCGCCGUGGUAUUAAAGCUAACGCGUUAAGUAUCCCGCCUGGGGAGUAUGCUCGCAAGAGUG
Molecule: ribosomal RNA, 368 nt
Filed under: uncultured phototrophic eukaryote
Lineage: Eukaryota
Description: SSU rRNA
Rfam family: Bacterial small subunit ribosomal RNA
Source: RNAcentral